This 253-nucleotide ribosomal RNA is filed under the name uncultured bacterium. RNAcentral describes it as "partial 16S ribosomal RNA". It matches the Rfam family "Bacterial small subunit ribosomal RNA", at positions 524 to 776 of the family's 1533-position model. The record is from RNAcentral.
UACGUAGGGGGCAAGCGUUGUCCGGAAUCAUUGGGCGUAAAGCGCGUGUAGGCGGGUCGGUAAGUCCGCUCUGAAAGCCCGGGGCUCAACCCCGGGAGGCGGGUGGAUACUGUCGACCUCGAGUCCGGAAGAGGCGAGUGGAAUUCCUGGUGUAGCGGUGAAAUGCGCAGAUAUCAGGAGGAACACCAAUGGCGAAGGCAGCACUCUGGUACGUGACUGACGCUGAGACGCGAAAGCGUGGGGAGCAAACAGG